Molecule: long non-coding RNA, 549 nt
Filed under: Trifolium pratense (red clover)
Lineage: Eukaryota; Viridiplantae; Streptophyta; Magnoliopsida; Fabales; Fabaceae
Description: long non-coding RNA (TPRA_LNC010880)
Source: RNAcentral
AUGUAGACUAGAAAUAUUUUUGUUUGAUAUAUAGUUUAGGCUGAUAUUGUCUUAAAUUAAAUAUUGUUUCUUAAAUUUAGUUCAUCUCUUUAGGGUGCGUUUGAUCUACUAAAAAAUAAAAAAUUGUACACAGACUAUUUCUGUCGUGUUGUGUUUGAUUUUAAAACUGUCCUGAGACUGGACAAACUAUGGGCCAACGGACUAGACAAAAAUUAAACCACAAGACAACUUUUUAUCCUCUGUAUAAGUUUUCUAAAAUACUAAAAUUACAUUUUUGUCCACCAAACAUCAUAUAAGACAACACUUGUUUAAUACCUUAAACAUUCGUGAUGUCAAGUGAUGUUCUGUCCGGUACAUCCAUUUUACAAAUCAAAUGGAGUUGGUUUAUGUCGGACAGAAAUAAAUUUAAACUUUAAUAUAUUCUAGACUAAAUCACUCUUUUGGUACCUUAAAUAAUUUGUUGAUUUGUUUUAGUCCCAUAACUAGGUUUAGUUACAUUUAGGUCCCUUAGCUAACAAUACACAUUAUGUAUAAUCUGUAGUAACAAUA